Molecule: non-coding RNA, 72 nt
Organism: Trichonephila inaurata madagascariensis
Lineage: Eukaryota; Metazoa; Arthropoda; Arachnida; Araneae; Nephilidae
Source: the annotation of a GenBank genome assembly
GUCCCUGUCGCGCAAUGAGCAGUGCAUUGGAUUUCUAAUCCAAAGGUCUAGCUACAAAUCCUACCUGGGAUG